AUUAGAAACAAUCCAGCCAUCCAUCAGUAGGGGCAAUCUGAAAUGAAUUAGUCUGUCCAGACUGCGUUACAUUUGAAUCCUCCCGAAAGCACGAAGUAGAUCACCUGUACUGACCCGGCAGGGAGCCGCCGGCCUGAGAAGGUGAUGCUCCCGGGGGAGUGAGUUCAGGCCCCCCGCCCCGUCCACUCAGGAGGCCUGAGAAGGUGAUGCUCCCGGGGGAGUGAGUGCAGGCCCCCCGCCCCGUCCACUCAGGAGGCCUGAGAAGGUGAUGCCCCCGGGGGAGUGAGUACAGGCCCCCCGCCCCGUCCACUCAGGAGGCAAUGCUUGUCAGCUCACCUCUGUCUCAGCAGCAGUGGCGUUUUCUGCUUUGAA
This is a long non-coding RNA of Orcinus orca (killer whale), 372 nucleotides long. RefSeq lists it as uncharacterized. The record is from RefSeq and is a predicted model, not a curated record. Lineage: Eukaryota; Metazoa; Chordata; Mammalia; Artiodactyla; Delphinidae. The transcript is spliced from 3 exons.